This 520-nucleotide ribosomal RNA is filed under the name uncultured Glomus. RNAcentral describes it as "SSU rRNA". It matches the Rfam family "Eukaryotic small subunit ribosomal RNA", at positions 569 to 1093 of the family's 1831-position model. Lineage: Eukaryota; Fungi; Glomeromycota; Glomeromycetes; Glomerales; Glomeraceae. The record is from RNAcentral.
AGCAGCCGCGGUAAUUCCAGCUCCAAUAGCGUAUAUUAAAGUUGCUGCAGUUAAAAAGCUCGUAGUUGAAUUUCGGGACUAAUAUGUCGGUCGUGCCUCGGUACGUACUGGUUUAUUGGUUUCUCCUUUCUGAAGAACCAUGAUGUCAUUUAUUUGGUGUCGUGGGGAAUCAGGACUGUUACUUUGAAAAAUUAGAGUGUUUAAAGCAGGCUCACGCUUGAAUACAUUAGCAUGGAAUAAUGAAAUAGGACGUUUGAUCCUAUUUUGUUGGUUUCUAGGAUUGACGUAAUGAUUAAUAGGGAUAGUUGGGGGCAUUAGUAUUCAAUUGUCAGAGGUGAAAUUCUUGGAUUUAUUGAAGACUAACUACUGCGAAAGCAUUUGCCAAGGAUGUUUUCAUUAAUCAAGAACGAAAGUUAGGGGAAUCGAAGACGAUCAGAUACCGUCGUAGUCUUAACCAUAAACUAUGCCGACUAGGGAUCGGAUGAUGUUAAUUUUUAAUGACUCAUUCGGCGCCUUACGG